Molecule: ribosomal RNA, 446 nt
Filed under: uncultured Fusibacter sp.
Lineage: Bacteria; Bacillati; Bacillota; Clostridia; Eubacteriales; Fusibacteraceae
Description: bacterial SSU rRNA
Rfam family: Bacterial small subunit ribosomal RNA
Source: RNAcentral
GCAUGUGGUUUAAUUCGAAGCAACGCGAAGAACCUUGCCAGGCCUUGACAUGCAGAGAACUUUCCAGAGAUGGAUUGGUGCCUUCGGGAACUCUGACACAGGUGCUGCAUGGCUGUCGUCAGCUCGUGUCGUGAGAUGUUGGGUUAAGUCCCGUAACGAGCGCAACCCUUGUGUUUAGUUGCAAACAGGUCAAGCUGUGCACUCUAGACAGACUGCCGUGGACAACACGGAGGAAGGUGGGGAUGACGUCAAAUCAUCAUGCCCCUUAUGAUCUGGGCUACACACGUGCUACAAUGGCCGGUACAACGGGCAGCGAAGGAGCGAUCCGGAGCGAAUCCUAAAAAGCCGGUCCCAGUUCGGAUUGCAGGCUGAAACUCGCCUACAUGAAGUUGGAGUUGCUAGUAAUCGCGAAUCAGAAUGUCGCGGUGAAUGCGUUCCCGGGUCUU